UAACGCGAAGAACCUUACCAGGUCUUGACAUCUUCUGAUAGCCUAAGAGAUUAGGUGUUCCCUUCGGGGACAGAAUGACAGGUGGUGCAUGGUUGUCGUCAGCUCGUGUCGUGAGAUGUUGGGUUAAGUCCCGCAACGAGCGCAACCCUUAUUGUCAGUUGCCAGCAUUAAGUUGGGCACUCUGGCAAGACUGCCGGUGACAAACCGGAGGAAGGUGGGGAUGACGUCAAGUCAUCAUGCCCCUUAUGACCUGGGCUACACACGUGCUACAAUGGACGAUACAACGAGUCGCUAGACCGCGAGGUUAAGCUAAUCUCUGAAAGUCGUUCUCAGUUCGGAUUGCAGGCUGCAACUCGCCUGCAUGAAGUCGGAAUCGCUAGUAGUCGCGGAUCAGC
This 395-nucleotide ribosomal RNA is filed under the name uncultured bacterium. Its description in RNAcentral is "bacterial SSU rRNA". It matches the Rfam family "Bacterial small subunit ribosomal RNA", at positions 957 to 1353 of the family's 1533-position model. The record is from RNAcentral.